This 720-nucleotide ribosomal RNA is filed under the name Streptomyces sp. 8-6. RNAcentral describes it as "bacterial SSU rRNA". It matches the Rfam family "Bacterial small subunit ribosomal RNA", at positions 72 to 808 of the family's 1533-position model. Lineage: Bacteria; Bacillati; Actinomycetota; Actinomycetes; Kitasatosporales; Streptomycetaceae. The record is from RNAcentral.
AACCACUUCGGUGGGGAUUAGUGGCGAACGGGUGAGUAACACGUGGGCAAUCUGCCCUGCACUCUGGGACAAGCCCUGGAAACGGGGUCUAAUACCGGAUACUGACCCUCACGGGCAUCUGUGAGGGUCGAAAGCUCCGGCGGUGCAGGAUGAGCCCGCGGCCUAUCAGCUUGUUGGUGAGGUAAUGGCUCACCAAGGCGACGACGGGUAGCCGGCCUGAGAGGGCGACCGGCCACACUGGGACUGAGACACGGCCCAGACUCCUACGGGAGGCAGCAGUGGGGAAUAUUGCACAAUGGGCGAAAGCCUGAUGCAGCGACGCCGCGUGAGGGAUGACGGCCUUCGGGUUGUAAACCUCUUUCAGCAGGGAAGAAGCGAAAGUGACGGUACCUGCAGAAGAAGCGCCGGCUAACUACGUGCCAGCAGCCGCGGUAAUACGUAGGGCGCGAGCGUUGUCCGGAAUUAUUGGGCGUAAAGAGCUCGUAGGCGGCUUGUCACGUCGGUUGUGAAAGCCCGGGGCUUAACCCCGGGUCUGCAGUCGAUACGGGCAGGCUAGAGUUCGGUAGGGGAGAUCGGAAUUCCUGGUGUAGCGGUGAAAUGCGCAGAUAUCAGGAGGAACACCGGUGGCGAAGGCGGAUCUCUGGGCCGAUACUGACGCUGAGGAGCGAAAGCGUGGGGAGCGAACAGGAUUAGAUACCCUGGUAGUCCACGCCGUAAACG